RNAcentral lists this ribosomal RNA (536 nucleotides) under uncultured soil bacterium. RNAcentral describes it as "bacterial SSU rRNA". It matches the Rfam family "Bacterial small subunit ribosomal RNA", at positions 8 to 583 of the family's 1533-position model. The record is from RNAcentral.
AGAGUUUGAUCCUGGCUCAGAGCGAACGCUGGCGGCAGGCCUAACACAUGCAAGUCGAGCGCCCAGCAAUGGGAGCGGCAGGCGGGAGAGUAACACGUGGGAACGUACCCUUCAGUUCGGAACAACCCAGGGAAACUUGGGCUAAUACCGAAUACGUCCGUAAGGAGAAAGAUUUAUCGCUGAAGGAUCGGCCCGCGUCUGAUUAGCUAGUUGGUGGGGUAAUGGCCCACCAAGGCGACGAUCAGUAGCUGGUCUGAGAGGAUGAUCAGCCUCACUGGGACUGAGACACGGCCCAGACUCCUACGGGAGGCAGCAGUGGGGAAUAUUGGACAAUGGGCGCAAGCCUGAUCCAGCCAUGCCGCGUGGAUGAUGAAAGGCCCUAGGGUUGUAAAGUCCUUUCGGCGGGGAAGAUAAUGACGGUACCCGCAGAAGGAAGCCCCGGNCUAACUUCGUGCCAGCAGCCGACGGUAAUACCGAAGGGGGCUAAGCGUAGCUCGGAAAUCACUGGGCGUANAAGCGCACGUAACGCGGACUCU